This 1288-nucleotide long non-coding RNA is filed under the name Canis lupus familiaris (dog). RNAcentral describes it as "lncRNA (ENSCAFG00030011851.1)". Lineage: Eukaryota; Metazoa; Chordata; Mammalia; Carnivora; Canidae. The record is from RNAcentral.
CUGCUUUGCCUCGCAGCUGGAGAAGCCACCUCGCUUCCCCUCCACUCUACUGGGGUGACGAGAUAGCAACUGACGUCAGCUCGGGCUGAUUGCGUCACGACCGCAGGCAAAUCGCCGCUCUUGCCAAAGCGCUUCUUCUCUCGCCUUCUGGAAAGGCCUCCGGAUUCGGGUUCGGUCCAGGCGGCGGGGCUGGUGGCCCGCGUGUAAGCCGGGGCUUCCACCACACACCUCACUUCCGGCGGGGGACGGGGCGGGGGGGCGUGUGUCUGCACGAGGUCUCGCGUGAAGUGGCUCUGCGGGAGCGGGAGCGGGAGCGGGAGCGGGAGCGGGUGCGACGCACGCGGCGGCGCAGGCGUCGGCCGCCCCGAGACCCACCGACACCCUUCGGGAGGUCGCAGCAGGCCCGACGCUGCGGGGGCUUCCCUGGAACCGGGCUGUGCCCCCGCGGCCACGUGGGGAGGCGGCGGCAGAGCCCCUCGGAGCGCCGCGUGCCUCCCGGAGGACGGCGAGAGCCGCAGCCCCGGCGGCUGCUGGGCCGCGGAGGCGGACAUUUGGAAACCAGCUCCGUGGAAGUUGUGAGGCACCCAGAGAGCACAAACUUCUAUCUUUUAUCUCAUGGAUCCAAUGUAACUGUUACCGAAGAACUCAGGAACUUGGCAGGUUCGCAGCUAGUCCAUAUGGCAGUCGAGGAGAAGACAUCCUGCCCUAAAGACACUUGAGCACUCUCUGCCAGGAAAUUGUCUCCAUUGUGAAUGGUGCCCCCUGGUUGUAAACAACUGCACUACUGUAUAUGGCAGCUCAGCAGAGGUCAGAGAUUUCUUUUUUUUACUUUGUUCUCCUCAGUACUACAAAUGUGAGAAUUAUCGAGCUGAAGGGGGACUUUAUGAUUAUUUGACAGUUCGGAAAACUGAGGCCCAAUAGGCAAAAUGCGUCGUCAAAUGUAGUUGAUGAAAGGCAUGGAAUUAGGGCCCGUAUCUUCUCACUCGUUCGCUGCAACAUUUUCCACUUGGAUAAAAUUUUAAAAACCCAACGUUGGUUUAAAAAAAAUAAAGAUAAUAAAUAUACAGAUGUGGGAAGUUAACUUUAUUAUCAAACGAUUCACCCCAAUAAAAAUGACAAAAACAGAUUCCGUCUGCUGUUUAAAGUACGCUACUUUAUCAAAAGCAAACUUGCACGCAAUUUCUAGAAAUGUGUUUUUGUUUGGAGCAGAAUACUCCUGGGUAAGUAGUGAUACAAUGUUAAGGUCUGCAUGGUGUUUAAUAUGCUAAAAACCAUAGUUACCUCUUCU